CGAACGCUGGCGGCGUGCUUAACACAUGCAAGUCGCGCGGUAAGGCCUUUCGGGGUACACGAGCGGCGAACGGGUGAGUAACACGUGGGUGAUCUGCCCUGCACUUCGGGAUAAGCCUGGGAAACUGGGUCUAAUACCGGAUAUGACCUCCUAUCGCAUGGUGGGUGGUGGAAAGAUUUAUCGGUGCAGGAUGGGCCCGCGGCCUAUCAGCUUGUUGGUGGGGUAAUGGCCUACCAAGGCGACGACGGGUAGCCGACCUGAGAGGGUGACCGGCCACACUGGGACUGAGACACGGCCCAGACUCCUACGGGAGGCAGCAGUGGGGAAUAUUGCACAAUGGGCGAAAGCCUGAUGCAGCGACGCCGCGUGAGGGAUGACGGCCUUCGGGUUGUAAACCUCUUUCAGCAGGGACGAAGCGCAAGUGACGGUACCUGCAGAAGAAGCACCGGCUAACUACGUG
RNAcentral lists this ribosomal RNA (460 nucleotides) under uncultured bacterium. Its description in RNAcentral is "partial 16S ribosomal RNA". It matches the Rfam family "Bacterial small subunit ribosomal RNA", at positions 30 to 507 of the family's 1533-position model. The record is from RNAcentral.